UCCCUUGUGUCUCAGGCGGUAAAGAAUCUGCCUGCAAUGCAGGAGACCUGGGUUCGAUCCCUGAGUUGGAA
This 71-nucleotide transfer RNA is filed under the name Bos taurus (domestic cattle). It matches the Rfam family "tRNA". From Rfam's summary of the family: Transfer RNA (tRNA) molecules are approximately 80 nucleotides in length. Their secondary structure includes four short double-helical elements and three loops (D, anti-codon, and T loops). The record is from Rfam by way of RNAcentral. RNAcentral also lists the same sequence under 3 other names. Lineage: Eukaryota; Metazoa; Chordata; Mammalia; Artiodactyla; Bovidae.